Molecule: long non-coding RNA, 573 nt
Filed under: Musa acuminata (dwarf banana)
Lineage: Eukaryota; Viridiplantae; Streptophyta; Magnoliopsida; Zingiberales; Musaceae
Description: long non-coding RNA (MACU_LNC002509)
Source: RNAcentral
AUUUCCCCUGAAAUUACGAACGACCACGGAUUGUUGUCGUUGUAAGAGAAAAUGACACUUUUUUUAAUCGCAGUCUGAACGUAGGCCUUCUUUGAGAAUGCUUCACAUUAAACCAUAUGACAGAUAGUUUGAAGUGUAUAUUUGUGGCUUAUGCUCAAGAUCGCUUUCUCACACUUUCUGUUCUAGAAGACUAAUAUAUUCUGACACAUUUUAAUUCUAUGAAUGUCAACACAUUUCAAUUCUAUGAAUGUCAAUAAUUGACAACAACGUUAAUGACAAGCCACAAUAAAUGUCAAUAAUUGAUGUUAAAUUACUUAUGUUGGGCCCAUUCUCUUUCAAGCACAAAAGGUAGUUGACUUGUUCUUUAUCUUAUGCUUGUUGGUGCUCGCUAGACCGAUGAUGUUAAAAGAUAGCAUGGUUCAUAGUUGACUUUUUCUGUUUCAAUAUUUAAGCAUUAUGUUUACAUGGAAUAAAAUGCAAUUUUUACUUAUUUUCUUGUAUACAUUUGAGUGAUGCCACAAUUUUUUCAAUGUCUUUCCAGUUGUUGCCUCUUAUACUACACUUUGCAGAUUG